This 214-nucleotide long non-coding RNA is filed under the name Gossypium barbadense (sea-island cotton). RNAcentral's name for it is "long non-coding RNA (GBAR_LNC018714)". Lineage: Eukaryota; Viridiplantae; Streptophyta; Magnoliopsida; Malvales; Malvaceae. The record is from RNAcentral.
AACAUGUGAAAUUCUUCAUCAUUCGAGAGAGCCAUUUUUGCUAAAACAUCUGCAAUCCUAUUUGUCUCUCUAGGAACUUAUAUCAAGGACCACUUUUCUUCAUUAGCUAGAAUCUGUUGAAUCCUCCUUAUUAAAGUGACAUUUGGUCCUUCAAUCUUGCUAUCACUAAUAGAUACAACGAUCUCGAGAUUAUCCGGUUGGAUGAUGACCUUAU